AGAGGCUCAAGUUGACAGACAUCGGCGUAAAGAGUGGUUAGGAAGUUUUUGAAACUAAAGCCGAACGCCCUCAGAACUGUUAUACGUACCCGAGGGUAAGAAGCCCCACUACGAAAGUGGCUUUAUAUCUCCGACCCCACGAAAGCUGCGAAACAAACUGGGAUUAGAUACCCCACUA
This 178-nucleotide ribosomal RNA is filed under the name Oreochromis niloticus (Nile tilapia). RNAcentral's name for it is "partial small subunit ribosomal RNA". Lineage: Eukaryota; Metazoa; Chordata; Actinopteri; Cichliformes; Cichlidae. RNAcentral also lists the same sequence under 1 other name. The record is from RNAcentral.